This 497-nucleotide ribosomal RNA is filed under the name uncultured bacterium. Its description in RNAcentral is "partial 16S ribosomal RNA". It matches the Rfam family "Bacterial small subunit ribosomal RNA", at positions 28 to 507 of the family's 1533-position model. The record is from RNAcentral.
GAUGAACGCUGGCGGCGUGCCUAAUACAUGCAAGUCGAGCGAACAGACGAGGAGCUUGCUCCUCUGACGUUAGCGGCGGACGGGUGAGUAACACGUGGAUAACCUACCUAUAAGACUGGGAUAACUUCGGGAAGCCGGAGCUAAUACCGGAUAAUAUAUUGAACCGCAUGGUUCAAUAGUGAAAGACGGUUUUGCUGUCACUUAUAGAUGGAUCCGCGCCGCAUUAGCUAGUUGGUAAGGUAACGGCUUACCAAGGCAACGAUGCGUAGCCGACCUGAGAGGGUGAUCGGCCACACUGGAACUGAGACACGGUCCAGACUCCUACGGGAGGCAGCAGUAGGGAAUCUUCCGCAAUGGGCGAAAGCUUGACGGAGCAACGCCGCGUGAGUGAUGAAGGUCUUCGGAUCGUAAAACUCUGUUAUUAGGGAAGAACAAAUGUGGAAGUAACUAUGCACGUCUUGACGGUACCUAAACAGAAAGCCACGGCUAACUACGUG